GAACACUUUGAAUAUGGAGUAGGUAAAUGUAAUGAAUUAUAUCAUUAAUCUAAAUCUUAUUUUAUAGAACUUAAAUAAAAUAUUAAUUUUAUGCCCUAAAUUAUUCUUAAUUUUCAAAUAAUUUAAUUAAAAAAUAUAAAAAAAUUAAAAAAGUGUUGGCCGUAUUUAGACAAAGAAGAACUGUUUCUAGAAGAAGGAGACCUUUUCUUUUUAUUUAAUAAAAAAGGUGUUGCAAGUUGCAAGGUAACUUAUUAAAUGGUUACGUGAAACUACACGAUUGCCGCACUAAUGCCUAAUACACUACACGUCACCAAUCGUACUCAUUCGAUGAUAGGAAAAGCUGCCAACUGCACAAGAAUCUUAGCCCUUCAUCCUUUUGACGGUCGAGAUCUUAUUUAGCUUGCUCACGUCAACGCGGCUUUUGCCUCUGACGUCACUAUGGGUUCCCCUAUUAUUAUUACACCUAUAACACUAACCUACUUGAGAAUUAAAACUUUGCCCUGCUUUUAUUAUUAUUAUUAUUUUUU
RNAcentral lists this unclassified non-coding RNA (527 nucleotides) under Hevea brasiliensis (rubber tree). The record is from RNAcentral. Lineage: Eukaryota; Viridiplantae; Streptophyta; Magnoliopsida; Malpighiales; Euphorbiaceae.